AGCAUGGAACAGGAAGAAGUGCAUGAACCCCACAUCUGGCUGAGGAGAUAUUGACUUCAGAUAGCUUCUGGGAGAAGGAGGGCCAGGUUUCUUUAAGUUUGGCCCCUAUAGGUUGGAAGCUCCAGGGGAUGACUCCACAUUCAGGAAUAUAUGAGUGGUGCAAACGGGACUUGGGCGACCCCACCCUAAGCUGCUAACCAGUGAGGGAGACAUCCGCCCACUUAAAAACUCCUGUCCCAGGGACAUCCCUGGGAUUGGAACUGAUGGAUCAAGAGGUAACUCCAGGUUCGCUUGACAGUGUGGAGGCUCCCGUUCACACGCCCACCAGGAAGGAUGUGGGGGCUCCAGCGGCUGCCUCUUAUAUUCAAGUCACCCAGGUGGACUUGUAGUCUAUCUUUUUAUGAUUUUAAUGAGGGUUUCCCUCAUGAGUAAUCAAAGUCACACAUCAUUUUGGGUACACAGGAAAUGAGUUUAUCUCCUGUGGAGGAAUGUCUAAUCUUUGUCCAUUCUU
This is a long non-coding RNA of Mus musculus (house mouse), 511 nucleotides long. RefSeq annotates it as RIKEN cDNA 4930471L23 gene. The record is from RefSeq and is marked validated. The transcript is spliced from 3 exons. Lineage: Eukaryota; Metazoa; Chordata; Mammalia; Rodentia; Muridae.